RNAcentral lists this transfer RNA (71 nucleotides) under Bos taurus (domestic cattle). It matches the Rfam family "tRNA". Rfam says of the family: Transfer RNA (tRNA) molecules are approximately 80 nucleotides in length. Their secondary structure includes four short double-helical elements and three loops (D, anti-codon, and T loops). The record is from Rfam by way of RNAcentral. Lineage: Eukaryota; Metazoa; Chordata; Mammalia; Artiodactyla; Bovidae. RNAcentral also lists the same sequence under 1 other name.
UCCUGGUGGCUCAGAUGGUAAAGAAUCUGCCUGAAAUGCAGGAGACCCAGGUUCAAUCCUUGGGUCAGGAA